GACAGAGGGGGCAAGCGUUGCUCGGAAUUACUGGGCGUAAAGGGCGCGUAGGCGGGAUGGCAAGUCGGUCGUGAAAUCCCUCGGCUCAACCGAGGAACGUCGAUCGAUACUGCUGUUCUUGAGGAUUGCAGAGGAGACUGGAAUUCCCGGUGUAGCGGUGAAAUGUGUAGAGAUCGGGAGGAACACCGGUGGCGAAGGCGGGUCUCUGGGCCGGUUCUGACGCUCAGGCGCGAAAGCGUGGGGAGCGAUCCGG
This 253-nucleotide ribosomal RNA is filed under the name uncultured bacterium. RNAcentral's name for it is "partial 16S ribosomal RNA". It matches the Rfam family "Bacterial small subunit ribosomal RNA", at positions 524 to 776 of the family's 1533-position model. The record is from RNAcentral.